UUAAGUUCAGCGGGUAUCCCUACCUGAUCCGAGGUCAAACGUUAAAAUAAGCUUUUUGGACACCGGCUACUGUGGCCAGGAACGCAAAAUGUGCUGCGCUCCAACACCCAAUUGCUGGUUGCCAAUGUAUUCGGGGCGAGUUUCGCACAAUGGCGGAACAAAAACACCCAACACCAAGCAGUGCUUGAAAGGUUUAAAUG
Molecule: unclassified non-coding RNA, 200 nt
Filed under: Pleosporales sp.
Lineage: Eukaryota; Fungi; Ascomycota; Dothideomycetes; Pleosporales
Description: partial internal transcribed spacer 2
Source: RNAcentral